This 207-nucleotide ribosomal RNA is filed under the name uncultured bacterium. RNAcentral's name for it is "partial 16S ribosomal RNA". It matches the Rfam family "Bacterial small subunit ribosomal RNA", at positions 568 to 774 of the family's 1533-position model. The record is from RNAcentral.
UGCGUAGGUGGCGGGGAAAGUCUGAUGUGAAAUCUCCGAGCUUAACUCGGAAAUGGCAUUGGAAACUACCUUGCUCGAGGGUUGGAGGGGGGACUGGAAUACUUGGUGUAGCAGUGAAAUGCGUAGAUAUCAAGUGGAACACCAGUGGCGAAGGCGGUUGGCUGGGCCACAACUGACGCUGAUGCGCGACAGCGUGGGGAGCAAACA